This 687-nucleotide ribosomal RNA is filed under the name Microsporidium sp. MIC1. Its description in RNAcentral is "bacterial SSU rRNA". The stretch from base 1 to 477 matches the Rfam family "Microsporidia small subunit ribosomal RNA", at positions 844 to 1311 of the family's 1311-position model. The record is from RNAcentral. Lineage: Eukaryota; Fungi; Microsporidia.
ACCAGGGUAUGUAACGUUGAGUGAAGGGUAUGGAUGUGAUCUGUAUUCUGAUAGCGUUACGCGUGGUGCAUGGCCGUUCUUAACACGUGGGGUGACUUGUCUGGUUAAAUCCGAUAACGCGUGAGACCCUGGAAAUUGACGAUACUUGACAAGAGUAGGGAAGCUCGGGUCGAUAACAGGUCUGUGAUGCCCGUAGAUAUUCUGGGCGCCACGCGCAUUACAGUGGGAGAGGAUACGUAAAACGGAACUUUCUUGCGGUUGGGAUUGACGUUUGUAAAUACGUCAUGAACGCGGAAUUCCUAGUAAUUUGUUGUCAUUAACGACAGAUGAAUGAGUCCCUGUUCUUUGUACACACCGCCCGUCGUUAUCUAAGAUGAAUGUGCGGAUGAAGUUGGUUAGGCCAAAAGAAUCCGUCCGAUUAGAUUGGAUACAAGUCGUAACAAGGUUGCGGUAGGAGAACCUGCCGCAGGAUCAAUAAAAAGAUCAUUGGGUUUUUAUAAUGUGGGUAACACAUUGCGUUCGAAGGAUCGAUUGGUUUUGGUGACGAUGACGAUUGUUGCUGUAUGCGAUAAUGAGUGACAACAGCCUUGUUUAACUCGUUAUCUAAUUAUAGAUGUUAUCUAUGAUUACCCCUUGGACUUAAGCAUAUCAUUAAAGGGGAGGAAAAGAAAACAACUGUGAUUUCGA